GACGAACGCUGGCGGCGUGCUUAACACAUGCAAGUCGAACGGAAAGGCCCUGCUUUUUUGGGGUGCUCGAGUGGCGAACGGGUGAGUAACACGUGAGUAACCUGCCCUUGACUUUGGGAUAACUUCAGGAAACUUGGGCUAAUACCGGAUAGGAGCUCCUGCUGCAUGGUGGGGGUUGGAAAGUUUCGGCGGUUGGGGAUGGACUCGCGGCUUAUCAGCUUGUUGGUGGGGUAGUGGCUUACCAAGGCUUUGCCGGGUAGCCGGCCUGAGAGGGUGACCGGCCACAUUGGGACUGAGAUACGGCCCAGACUCCUACGGGAGGCAGCAGUGGGGAAUAUUGCACAAUGGGCGGAAGCCUGAUGCAGCAACGCCGCGUGCGGGAUGACGGCCUUCGGGUUGUAAACCGCUUUCGCCUGUGACGAAGCGUGAGUGACGGUAAUGGGUAAAGAAGCACCGGCUAACUACGUG
This 468-nucleotide ribosomal RNA is filed under the name uncultured bacterium. RNAcentral describes it as "partial 16S ribosomal RNA". It matches the Rfam family "Bacterial small subunit ribosomal RNA", at positions 28 to 507 of the family's 1533-position model. The record is from RNAcentral.